This 375-nucleotide ribosomal RNA is filed under the name uncultured bacterium. Its description in RNAcentral is "bacterial SSU rRNA". It matches the Rfam family "Bacterial small subunit ribosomal RNA", at positions 30 to 416 of the family's 1533-position model. The record is from RNAcentral.
CCUGAACGCUGGCGGCGUGGCUAAGACAUGCAAGUCGUACGGGUGCAGCAAUGCACCAGUGGCGGACGGGUGAGUAAUGAAUCGCUAAUGUACCCUGGACUCCGGGAUAGCCGGCCGAAAGGCCGGGUAAUACCAGAUGAUGUGGCGACAGGGCAUCCUGUUGACCCCAAAGGGAACCGGUCUGGGCGCAGGCGAUUUCGUAUCAGCUAGUUGGUGAGGUAACGGCUCACCAAGGCGACGACGCGUAGCCGGACUGAGAGGUUGGCCGGCCACAUCGGGACUGAGACACUGCCCGGACUCCUACGGGGGCUGCAGUACGAAUCUUCCCAAUGCACGAAAGUGUGAGGGAGCGACGCCGCGUGUGGGACGAAGUCC